AGUGAACGCUGGCGGUAGGCCUAACACAUGCAAGUCGAACGGCAGCACAGUAAGAGCUUGCUCUUACGGGUGGCGAGUGGCGGACGGGUGAGGAAUACAUCGGAAUCUACUUUUUCGUGGGGGAUAACGUAGGGAAACUUACGCUAAUACCGCAUACGACCUACGGGUGAAAGCAGUGGAUCUUCGGACCUUGCGCGAUUGAAUGAGCCGAUGUCGGAUUAGCUAGUUGGCGGGGUAAAGGCCCACCAAGGCGACGAUCCGUAGCGGGUCUGAGAGGAGGAUCAGCCACACUGAAACUGAGACACGGUCCAGACUCCUACGGGAGGCAGAAGUGGGGAAUAUUGGACAAUGGGCGCAAGCCUGAUCCAGCCAUACCGCGGGGGUGAAGAAGGCCUUCGGGUUGUAAAGCCCCUUUGUUGGGAAAGAAAAGCAGCAGGUUAAUACCCCGCUGUUCGGACGGUACCCAAAGAAUAAGCACCGGCAAACUGCGG
Molecule: ribosomal RNA, 491 nt
Filed under: uncultured bacterium
Lineage: Bacteria
Description: partial 16S ribosomal RNA
Rfam family: Bacterial small subunit ribosomal RNA
Source: RNAcentral